Molecule: ribosomal RNA, 253 nt
Filed under: uncultured bacterium
Lineage: Bacteria
Description: partial 16S ribosomal RNA
Rfam family: Bacterial small subunit ribosomal RNA
Source: RNAcentral
UACGGAGGGUGCAAGCGUUAUCCGGAAUUAUUGGGCGUAAAGAGCUCGUAGGCGGUUUGUCGCGUCUGCUGUGAAAACUGGAGGCUCAACCUCCAGCCUGCAGUGGGUACGGGCAAACUAGAGUGCGGUAGGGGAGAUUGGAAUUCCUGGUGUAGCGGUGGAAUGCGCAGAUAUCAGGAGGAACACCGAUGGCGAAGGCAGAUCUCUGGGCCGUAACUGACGCUGAGGAGCGAAAGCGUGGGGAGCGAACAGG